UAGGGAAUCUUCCACAAUGGGCGAAAGCCUGAUGGAGCAACGCCGCGUGUGUGAUGAAGGCUUUCGGGUCGUAAAGCACUGUUGUAUGGGAAGAACAGCUGGAAUAGGAAAUGAUUUUAGUUUGACGGUACCAUACCAGAAAGGGCGGCUAAAUACGUGUCAG
RNAcentral lists this ribosomal RNA (163 nucleotides) under uncultured bacterium. RNAcentral's name for it is "partial 16S ribosomal RNA". It matches the Rfam family "Bacterial small subunit ribosomal RNA", at positions 355 to 511 of the family's 1533-position model. The record is from RNAcentral.